RNAcentral lists this ribosomal RNA (566 nucleotides) under uncultured Athelia. RNAcentral describes it as "eukaryotic LSU rRNA". The stretch from base 256 to 409 matches the Rfam family "5.8S ribosomal RNA". The record is from RNAcentral. Lineage: Eukaryota; Fungi; Basidiomycota; Agaricomycetes; Corticiales; Corticiaceae.
UCUUGGUCAUUUAGAGGAAGUAAAAGUCGUAACAAGGUUUCCGUAGGUGAACCUGCGGAAGGAUCAUUAACGAGUUUUGAAAGGGGUUGUCGCUGGCCUUUCACGAGGCAUGUGCACACCCUGCUCAUCCACUCUCAACCUCUGUGCACUUAUUGUAGGUCGGUGGAAGGCUCGCAAGAGCUGGAAGCCUGCUUAUGUUUUACUACAAACGCUUCAGUUAUAGAAUGUUUACUUGCGUAUAACGCAUUUAURUACAACUUUCAGCAACGGAUCUCUUGGCUCUCGCAUCGAUGAAGAACGCAGCGAAAUGCGAUAAGUAAUGUGAAUUGCAGAAUUCAGUGAAUCAUCGAAUCUUUGAACGCACCUUGCGCUCCCUGGUAUUCCGGGGAGCACGCCCGUUUGAGUGUCAUGGUAUUCUCAACCUUCCUCACUUUUGUGACUGGAAGGCUUGGAUGUGGAGGUCGUGCGGGCUCUCGCGAGUCGGCUCCUCUGAAAUGCAUUAGCGUGAACGUUUACGGAUCGCUAUCAGUGUGAUAAUUAUCUGAGCUGUUAGUGUUGAAGUAAUC